AUUGAACGCUGGCGGCAUGCCUUACACAUGCAAGUCGAACGGCAGCACGGGAGCAAUCCUGGUGGCGAGUGGCGAACGGGUGAGUAAUAUAUCGGAACGUGCCCGGUCGUGGGGGAUAACGUAGCGAAAGCUACGCUAAUACCGCAUACGAUCUACGGAUGAAAGCGGGGGAUCGCAAGACCUCGCGCGAUUGGAGCGGCCGAUAUCAGAUUAGGUAGUUGGUGAGGUAAAGGCUCACCAAGCCGACGAUCUGUAGCUGGUCUGAGAGGAUGAUCAGCCACACUGGGACUGAGACACGGCCCAGACUCCUACGGGAGGCAGCAGUGGGGAAUAUUGGACAAUGGGCGAAAGCCUGAUCCAGCAAUGCCGCGUGAGUGAUGAAGGCCUUAGGGUUGUAAAGCUCUUUUACCCGAGAUGAUAAUGACAGUAUCGGGAGAAUAAG
This 442-nucleotide ribosomal RNA is filed under the name uncultured bacterium. RNAcentral's name for it is "bacterial SSU rRNA". It matches the Rfam family "Bacterial small subunit ribosomal RNA", at positions 30 to 490 of the family's 1533-position model. The record is from RNAcentral.